RNAcentral lists this ribosomal RNA (502 nucleotides) under uncultured bacterium. RNAcentral describes it as "bacterial SSU rRNA". It matches the Rfam family "Bacterial small subunit ribosomal RNA", at positions 28 to 576 of the family's 1533-position model. The record is from RNAcentral.
AACGAACGCUGGCGGCAGGCCUAACACAUGCAAGUCGAACGCACUCUUCGGAGUGAGUGGCAGACGGGUGAGUAACACGUGGGAACCUACCCAAAGGUGCGGAAUAACACAGGGAAACUUGUGCUAAUACCGUAUGUGCCCUUCGGGGGAAAGAUUUAUCGCCUUUGGAUGGGCCCGCGUCGGAUUAGCUAGUUGGUGGGGUAAUGGCCUACCAAGGCGACGAUCCGUAGCUGGUCUGAGAGGAUGAUCAGCCACACUGGGACUGAGACACGGCCCAGACUCCUACGGGAGGCAGCAGUGGGGAAUAUUGGACAAUGGGCGCAAGCCUGAUCCAGCCAUGCCGCGUGAGUGAUGAAGGCCUUAGGGUUGUAAAGCUCUUUCAGCUGGGAAGAUAAUGACGGUACCAACAGAAGAAGCCCCGGCUAACUUCGUGCCAGCAGCCGCGGUAAUACGAAGGGGGCUAGCGUUGUUCGGAAUCACUGGGCGUAAAGCGCACGUAGGC